RNAcentral lists this transfer RNA (72 nucleotides) under bacterium. Its description in RNAcentral is "tRNA-Cys". The record is from RNAcentral.
UUGCGCGGGCCGAAAGGCUUGGGUUAUCGCCUGCAACGCGAGAGGUCGGGGGUUCGAGUCCCUCCGGGUUAA